GUGCCAGCAGCCGCGGUAAUACGGAGGGUGCAAGCGUUAAUCGGAAUUACUGGGCGUAAAGCGCGCGCAGGCGGUUCCUUAAGUCUGAUGUGAAAGCCCCCGGCUCAACCGGGGAGGGUCAUUGGAAACUGGGGAACUUGAGUGCAGAAGAGGAGAGUGGAAUUCCACGUGUAGCGGUGAAAUGCGUAGAGAUGUGGAGGAACACCAGUGGCGAAGGCGACUCUCUGGUCUGUAACUGACGCUGAGGUGCGAAAGCGUGGGUAGCAAACAGGAUUAGAUACC
This 282-nucleotide ribosomal RNA is filed under the name uncultured prokaryote. Its description in RNAcentral is "partial 16S ribosomal RNA". It matches the Rfam family "Bacterial small subunit ribosomal RNA", at positions 505 to 786 of the family's 1533-position model. The record is from RNAcentral.